CACGUAGGGGGCAAGCGUUGUCCGGAAUCAUUGGGCGUAAAGAGCUCGUAGGCGGCUCAGUAAGUCGGGUGUGAAACCCUCAGGCUCAACCUGGGGACGCCACCCGAUACUGCUGUGGCUAGAGUCCAGUAGGGGAGUGUGGAAUUCCCGGUGUAGCGGUGGAAUGCGCAGAUAUCAGGAAGAACACCAACGGCGAAGGCAGCUCGCUGGGACGGUACUGACGCUGAGACGCGAAAGCGUGGGGAGCGAACAGG
Molecule: ribosomal RNA, 254 nt
Filed under: uncultured bacterium
Lineage: Bacteria
Description: partial 16S ribosomal RNA
Rfam family: Bacterial small subunit ribosomal RNA
Source: RNAcentral